AGCUGCAGAGUUGGUGAGGACGGGUCUCUCUUUGGGGAAGAAGUUGGAGGUCUCCUGAAAGAGCUGGAUGGAGAUCCAGUCCACACUGUCCCUGCCUGGGCCAUUACAAAAGCCCUCCAGUUUCCCAGAGAGGUGCCAGAGGCCACUAGGUGUGAACCAGGGAUGCUGUCAGUCAGCAGGGACAUUUUCUGCCCCGGAAAAUGUCUCUGUGCUUCCCCUGUACCGCAUCUCCAGCUGCCUCUGCGCAUUGCCCUGUCAGGAUUAAAAUAGCUCUGGCUUGAUGACUUCACUAGUUCUCACAAUCGGGCCAAUUGGCAGGAGGCAAACGCGGCUGCUCCUGAGGGGAGGAUUUCUUUUUUGUUGUUUGUUUCUUUCCAUAUUACUCCCAAUAUGAAUACAUGGUUUCAUUUUGACUCUGAAAAACAUUUCCUUUCUGAGGUUCAAUUCAGCACAAAACUUCAUACAAAUCUCCUCAAAUGCCUUUAAAAGGCUCAAGCUAAACGAGGUCACUGGAAGGCAACACGGAGCAUCCAGACUGUAUUAUAAUCUCUGAGGUGAAACUUCAAGGACAUCAAAACUACUGGGCUCUCGCUGAGACUAGAGCUUGCCAAUAGGAUACAUUGCUGUCCUUCAAGCUCUGGAGAUCUGUCUGUGCUGGAUGUCCUGCUCCCUGCCACCUGAGGGAUAAAGAUGUGAUGAACCACGCCCAUCCUUUUCUGUUGGUGCUGGAAACCCAAACCGCAUGGAACACGCUUGCAAGGCAAACACUUCACUGACAGCCAUUCCUUCAGCCCCUGCAGUCUUCCUAGACUGACCUAUUGUGAUGCUUGGUUUUCAUUAUCAAUUAAACUAGAUUUCGAAUC
This is a non-coding RNA of Peromyscus maniculatus bairdii (prairie deer mouse), 863 nucleotides long. NCBI's taxonomy places the organism in Eukaryota, Metazoa, Chordata, Mammalia, Rodentia, Cricetidae. The record is from RefSeq and is a predicted model, not a curated record.